Molecule: non-coding RNA, 154 nt
Filed under: Patescibacteria group bacterium
Lineage: Bacteria
Description: 6S RNA
Rfam family: 6S / SsrS RNA
About the family: E. coli 6S RNA was the first non coding RNA to be sequenced, but its function was unknown until recently. It consists of 184 nucleotides that fold into an extended hairpin structure with a large single-stranded internal bulge. The 6S RNA specifically associates with RNA polymerase holoenzyme containing the sigma70 specificity factor.
Source: RNAcentral
AACCAGCUGGAACACUCGCUACUCGCCAUUAUUUUUUCUACAAAUCAUAAUUAAGGGAGUCUUAUAUCCUUUCCCGCCGUGGCAGGAGAGUGCGGACACCCACCUGGAUAUCAGGGAUAAUGAUUCUGGCGGUAGACGGUGUUUUGGUGUUUUU